This is a small nuclear RNA of Saimiri boliviensis boliviensis (Bolivian squirrel monkey), 106 nucleotides long. The record is from Ensembl. NCBI's taxonomy places the organism in Eukaryota, Metazoa, Chordata, Mammalia, Primates, Cebidae.
GUGCUCGCCUCGGCAGCACAUAUGCUAAAAUUGGAGCAGUGCAGAGAAAAUUAGAUGGCCCCUGUGCAAGGAUGACAUGCAAGUUCAUGAAGGAUUCCAUAUAUUU